AGAGUUUGAUCAUGGCUCAGAAUGAACGCUGGCGGCGUGCCUAACACAUGCAAGUCGUACGAGAAAUCCCGAGCUUGCUUGGGAGAGUAAAGUGGCGCACGGGUGAGUAACGCGUGGGUAACCCACCUUCGAAUUUGGGAUAACUCCGCGAAAGCGGUGCUAAUACCGGAUAAGACCACAGCCGUUUCGGCGGCAGAGGUAAAAGCUGACCUCUCCAUGGAAGUUAGCGUUCGAAGACGGGCCCGCGUCCUAUCAGCUUGUUGGUGGGGUAAAGGCCUACCAAGGCAGCGACGGGUAGCUGGUCUGAGAGGAUGAUCAGCCACACUGGAACUGGAACACGGUCCAGACUCCUACGGGAGGCAGCAGUGAGGAAUUUUGCGCAAUGGGGGAAACCCUGACGCAGCAACGCCGCGUGGGUGAAGAAGGCUUUCGGGUCGUAAAGCCCUGUCAGGUGGGAAGAAACUCUUCAGCACUAAUAAUGCUGAAGCCUGACGGUACCACCAGAGGAAGCACCGGCCAACUCCGUGCCAGCAGCCGCGGUAAUACGGAGGGUGCAAGCGUUGUUCGGAAUUAUUGGGCGUAAAGAGCGUGUAGGCGGCUUGGUAAGUCAGAUGUGAAAGCCCUGGGCUCAACCCAGGAAGUGCAUUUGAAACUACCAGACUUGAGUACGGGAGAGGAGGGGGGAAUUCCCGGUGUAGAGGUGAAAUUCGUAGAUAUCGGGAGGAAUACCGGUGGCGAAGGCGCCCCUCUGGACCGAUACUGACGCUGAGACGCGAAAGCGUGGGAGCAAACAGGAUUAGAUACCCUGAUAGUCUACGCCGUAAACGAUGAGCACUAAGUGUAGCGGGUAUUGACCCCUGCUGUGCGUAGCUAACGCAUUAAGUGCUCCGCCUGGGGACUACGGUCCGCAAGACUUAAAACUCAAAGGAAAUGAUGGGGGCCCGGACAAGUCUGAUGUAACCA
RNAcentral lists this ribosomal RNA (963 nucleotides) under uncultured Syntrophobacterales bacterium. RNAcentral describes it as "bacterial SSU rRNA". It matches the Rfam family "Bacterial small subunit ribosomal RNA", at positions 8 to 942 of the family's 1533-position model. The record is from RNAcentral. Lineage: Bacteria; Pseudomonadati; Thermodesulfobacteriota; Syntrophobacteria; Syntrophobacterales.